RNAcentral lists this transfer RNA (72 nucleotides) under Stegodyphus mimosarum. It matches the Rfam family "tRNA". Rfam says of the family: Transfer RNA (tRNA) molecules are approximately 80 nucleotides in length. Their secondary structure includes four short double-helical elements and three loops (D, anti-codon, and T loops). The record is from Rfam by way of RNAcentral. Lineage: Eukaryota; Metazoa; Arthropoda; Arachnida; Araneae; Eresidae.
GCCUUCGUGGUGUAGGGUCAGCACACUGGACGCGUAACCGAGAGGUCCGUGGUUCGAUUCCCGACGAAGGCG